RNAcentral lists this ribosomal RNA (686 nucleotides) under Bacillus sp. (in: firmicutes). Its description in RNAcentral is "bacterial SSU rRNA". It matches the Rfam family "Bacterial small subunit ribosomal RNA", at positions 75 to 747 of the family's 1533-position model. The record is from RNAcentral. Lineage: Bacteria; Bacillati; Bacillota; Bacilli; Caryophanales; Bacillaceae.
CUUGCUUCUAUGACGUUAGCGGCGGACGGGUGAGUAACACGUGGGCAACCUGCCUGUAAGACUGGGAUAACUUCGGGAAACCGAAGCUAAUACCGGAUAGGAUCUUCUCCUUCAUGGGAGAUGAUUGAAAGAUGGUUUCGGCUAUCACUUACAGAUGGGCCCGCGGUGCAUUAGCUAGUUGGUGAGGUAACGGCUCACCAAGGCAACGAUGCAUAGCCGACCUGAGAGGGUGAUCGGCCACACUGGGACUGAGACACGGCCCAGACUCCUACGGGAGGCAGCAGUAGGGAAUCUUCCGCAAUGGACGAAAGUCUGACGGAGCAACGCCGCGUGAGUGAUGAAGGCUUUCGGGUCGUAAAACUCUGUUGUUAGGGAAGAACAAGUACGAGAGUAACUGCUCGUACCUUGACGGUACCUAACCAGAAAGCCACGGCUAACUACGUGCCAGCAGCCGCGGUAAUACGUAGGUGGCAAGCGUUAUCCGGAAUUAUUGGGCGUAAAGCGCGCGCAGGCGGUUUCUUAAGUCUGAUGUGAAAGCCCACGGCUCAACCGUGGAGGGUCAUUGGAAACUGGGGAACUUGAGUGCAGAAGAGAAAAGCGGAAUUCCACGUGUAGCGGUGAAAUGCGUAGAGAUGUGGAGGAACACCAGUGGCGAAAGGCGGCUUUUUUGGUCUGUAACUGACGCU